RNAcentral lists this ribosomal RNA (379 nucleotides) under uncultured eukaryote. RNAcentral describes it as "partial 18S ribosomal RNA". It matches the Rfam family "Eukaryotic small subunit ribosomal RNA", at positions 592 to 975 of the family's 1831-position model. The record is from RNAcentral.
CAAUAGCGUAUAUUAAAGUUGUUGCGGUUAAAAAGCUCGUAGUUGGAUUUCUGCUGAGAACGACCGGUCCGCCCUCUGGGUGUGUAUCUGGCUCUUUCUUGGCAUCUUCUUGGUGAACGUUGCUGCACUUGACUGUGUGGAGCGCUACCCAGGACUUUUACUUUGAGGAAAUUAGAGUGUUUCAAGCAGGCAUACGCCUUGAAUACAUUAGCAUGGAAUAAUAAGAUAGGACCUCGGUUCUAUUUUGUUGGUUUCUAGAGCUGAGGUAAUGAUUAAUAGGGAUAGUUGGGGGCAUUCGUAUUUAACUGUCAGAGGUGAAAUUCUUGGAUUUGUUAAAGAUGGACUACUGCGAAAGCAUUUGCCAAGGAUGUCUUCAUUG